RNAcentral lists this transfer RNA (84 nucleotides) under Candidatus Woesearchaeota archaeon. RNAcentral describes it as "tRNA-Leu". It matches the Rfam family "tRNA". Rfam says of the family: Transfer RNA (tRNA) molecules are approximately 80 nucleotides in length. Their secondary structure includes four short double-helical elements and three loops (D, anti-codon, and T loops). Lineage: Archaea; Nanobdellati; Candidatus Woesearchaeota. The record is from RNAcentral.
GCCGGGGUUGGCGAGCCUGGUACGCCGUAAGGUCGAGAGCCUUAUGUCCGAGAGGACUCCGGGGUUCAAAUCCCCGCCCCGGCG